Molecule: ribosomal RNA, 501 nt
Filed under: Sus scrofa (pig)
Lineage: Eukaryota; Metazoa; Chordata; Mammalia; Artiodactyla; Suidae
Description: partial large subunit ribosomal RNA
Rfam family: Bacterial large subunit ribosomal RNA
Source: RNAcentral
GAGGCAUGCCUGCCCAGUGACACCAGUUUAACGGCCGCGGUAUUCUGACCGUGCAAAGGUAGCAUAAUCACUUGUUCUCCAAAUAAGGACUUCGUAUGAAUGGCCACACGAGGGUUUUACUGUCUCUUACUUCCAAUCAGUGAAAUUAACCUUCCCGUGAAGAGGCGGGAAUAAAAAAAUAAGACGAGAAGACCCUAUGGAGCUUUAAUUAACUAUUCCAAAAGUUAAACAACUCAACCACAAAGGGAUAAAACAUAACUUAACAUGGACUAGCAAUUUCGGUUGGGGUGACCUCGGAGUACAAAAAACCCUCCGAGUGAUUUUAAUCUAGACAAACCAGUCAAAAUAACCAUAACAUCACUUAUUGAUCCAAAAUUUUGAUCAACGGAACAAGUUACCCUAGGGAUAACAGCGCAAUCCUGUUCUAGAGUUCCUAUCGACAAUAGGGUUUACGACCUCGAUGUUGGAUCAGGACACCCAAAUGGUGCAACCGCUAUUAAA